This 366-nucleotide long non-coding RNA is filed under the name Nicotiana benthamiana. RNAcentral's name for it is "long non-coding RNA (NBEN_LNC018243)". The record is from RNAcentral. Lineage: Eukaryota; Viridiplantae; Streptophyta; Magnoliopsida; Solanales; Solanaceae.
AUGACAUAAAUAAAAGAAAGAUGUCGAGAGAAAGUCUUAGCCCUUAAAAUGCGUUGCGAAGAGAGAUCGAAGACGAAGAUUUUCUGACGCAGUGCGGGCACUGGAUGGAAAAGACAGAUAAAGGAACAACCCACCGGAAGGGCAUACCUCAAGGGGCACCAAUCUCCCCCGGCAAAGAUCUAUCUGCGCGAAGCCGACCUAUGGAUAGAAAGAAAGAUGCAAUGACGCAGUGCAGGCACUGGAUGGAAAAGACAGAUAAAGGAACAACCCACCGAAAGGGCAUACCUCAAGGGGCACCAAUCUCCCCCGGCAAAGAUCUAUCUGCGCGAAGCCGACCUAUGGAUAGAAAGAAAGAUGCAGGAAAGG